This is a non-coding RNA of Trichoderma gamsii, 96 nucleotides long. The record is from Rfam. NCBI's taxonomy places the organism in Eukaryota, Fungi, Ascomycota, Sordariomycetes, Hypocreales, Hypocreaceae.
GACACUUUGGCCGAGUGGUUAAGGCGAUGCCCUGCUAUCAAUCUGAUAUUAUAGGCAUUGUGUUCGCACGCGCAGGUUCGAAUCCUGCAGGUGUCG